This 58-nucleotide ribosomal RNA is filed under the name Hamatocaulis vernicosus. RNAcentral's name for it is "partial 25S ribosomal RNA". The record is from RNAcentral. Lineage: Eukaryota; Viridiplantae; Streptophyta; Bryopsida; Hypnales; Calliergonaceae.
CAGACCUAUAAUCGGAAAAGACUACCCGCUGAGUUUAAGCAUAUCACUAAGCGGAGGA